RNAcentral lists this long non-coding RNA (1030 nucleotides) under Homo sapiens (human). Its description in RNAcentral is "non-protein coding CPEB2-DT:24". Lineage: Eukaryota; Metazoa; Chordata; Mammalia; Primates; Hominidae. The record is from RNAcentral.
GAGAAGCCCUGCUGCACCACUCGGGCUUCCCAGAGCGGGGCUGGCCCGCGGGGGAAACUGAGGCCCGGGACCCCGACCGGCGCCUGCACUGUGCGACCCGCGUAGAAAUAGGCGCCCGAGGGGCCCCCAGCGCAACGCGGGAGCCCGGCCCAGCCCGGGGGUCCUGUGGUGAACUAGCGUCUGGGCUCUGCCGGCUUGAAGUCCGCUGAGCGCCUCGCCGCGCACCUCUAGACCCCGAGUCCCCGAUCUAGGGCCUCCUUGUAGCCCUAGGUAGCGCCCUCUAAGCUUGUUUCUGUUUUUAGGCGCUGGUAGGAGUGCUGUCACCGACGUCGUAGAGCCGCCGAGGGUGUUUCUGUAGGGUAAACAUGAAGCCUCGGCUAUAUUCCAGGCAUUUUCACUUGGAAACAUUUUACAUAAAGUAUUUGAAGGUCUAGAUAAAGAAUAACAGAGUGAUCCAUACUACAUGAUGAGGAGCUGUCCAAACACCAUGCAGAUGCUCCUAGGAUUCUUAAACUAGCCAAAAAUAAUUCCAGGCAUUGUCAGAUAUAGGAUAAGUACAUGAAGACAGCAUUAGUCGCAGUAGCGAAGACACGGAAACAACCUAAGUGUUCACCAACAGAUGAAUGGAUGAAGCAAAUGUAGCAUAUAUACACAGUGGAAUACUAUUCAGCCUUUAAAAAGAAGGAAAUCUGGCUAACUGCAACAACAUGGAUGAACCUGGAGGAUAUUAUAUAAGUGAAAUAAGCCAGGCAUGGAAAGUUGUCUGCCCUAUUGCUCAACAAGAUAAAAUGUCUGGGCUGGUGGCUGGAGGCUGGAGGAAGAAUCUGGAAAGAGAGAGAGACUGUGGAAAAGGCAUAGAAAGACCUUUGAACUAGCAGAACAUAUUUCUUUGAGGGACUUAGGAACUUCAUUCUGGUAAGACUACAAGAUAUCAAACUUACUUGUGAAUUCUAACAUAGUCUCUUUUAUUAAUAAUCAAGAAUGUUUGAAAUUUAGGUACAAACUGUGUAUAGAAAUGAUUGGUUUGUUG